AAUUACCUGCCCUGUAAGUGAUAUAUGAAAAAGUUGAUCCGGCAAAUUAGAUCUUUAGGGAGCCCGCGUAAGGUGUCGGUGUGCAUGUUGACCAGGUGUCAAAAGCCUAAAGCCACCUUUAUGGCACCCACCUAUCCAAUAGGCGGAUCUGAUUCUUCAUAUACACGACAGGGCGGGAUUCAU
Molecule: non-coding RNA, 183 nt
Filed under: Nitrospiraceae bacterium
Lineage: Bacteria; Pseudomonadati; Nitrospirota; Nitrospiria; Nitrospirales; Nitrospiraceae
Description: 6S RNA
Rfam family: 6S / SsrS RNA
About the family: E. coli 6S RNA was the first non coding RNA to be sequenced, but its function was unknown until recently. It consists of 184 nucleotides that fold into an extended hairpin structure with a large single-stranded internal bulge.
Source: RNAcentral